GGUCUCAGCACUGGGUGGAGGGAGGCGGAACAGUCCUGGUAAAGAGGAGGAAAGAGACACACUGCCUGGGGCGGCCCUCUGCGGCUGCCUCCUCCUGCUGUGGUUUCUCUGGCUUAGGCUGCCCCUCUCACCUGGCUUGUCUAUGGGGAGGAGACCUUUGUUCUCUGGCUGCUUUGAAGACUUUCUCCUUAACAGUGGUUUCAAUACUUUGACUGCAGCAAAAAUAAUCCUCAGGAGCCAUGCCUCUAGCAUUUUUGGCCUUCCCUUCUGAAUAACAACAGCCAUGUUUUGGCCUCUGCAGGACUGAGGUCUGCUGAACAGCUGCUUCUGCGUAUCUCUGUCUUGCUCUUGGCCUCUGGGAGCUCCUGGGGAUCCUCAGCAGAGUCCACAGGGCUCUUUAGGGGACCCUCCCCAUGCUGCAGCCUGGAGCCUGUGAGCUGAGCAGUGAGCUGAGGCCACCACUGGGCUCACCUCAUGGGCUUGGAGGGAAAGUCAUUUACCCAGGAAGUGGAUGGUGAGCCCUUUACUCUGAGAAUGUCUACGCCUGGUGACGCUGGGAGGACAAGUGAGCCCUAUGUGAAUCCUGCUCCCUGGAGCCCACACUCUGGCAGAGGAGGUGUCACCAGGGACCUAAAUAGCUAUCAGGAAGCAUGGGGUCCCACCUGCCUCACCUCCCCCACCUCCAGAGAGGCUGUGCGGGCUCCAGAGAUACCAUCUCCCUGCUUGACUCUGGCAGAGGGAGGCUGUGGAGUUGCAAGUCCCCAGGUCAUGGUAUUGUUGGCUUGUAGGAUGUGGUUUGAUUAAAAUCAACAUUGAGGGUAAUGUUUGUACUCACAACAGCAUGUGCUGAAAUACAGUACUUGCACGUGCCAAGUCUGUCCUCAGCACUUUAUACACAUAUGAACACACGGAAUCCUCAUACAACCAGACUGUACAGGAACCCUCAUUGUCAUGAGACAAAGAACAUUCCUUCAGGGGAGGGCUGGGCAGGGGGAUGAGCGACCCUCCGGGCAGCGGCAGUGAUUGGGUCACUGGGUUGUGCUGGCCUUUCCCAGGGGGGUAUUUGGUGCUUGUUCAUGAGGCCUGCACUCACCUAGGGCUGGGUCAUAGGUGGGGGUCCCUGAGAAGUCCUGUAAGGCCACCACUUAUGUCCAGAAUAAUAGACAUGUUUAGAGAAGAAGUGGCUUUCCCUGGACCAUGAGGCUGGCCCGAAACUAGAAGAUAGAUGUCUUGCUUCUUAAGCCAAGGGUCUUUUUAUAUCAAAAGAACAAAGAAAGAAAGAAAGAAAAAAGCCACAAAAGACUCAAAAGAAACAUAUUUCUCACCACAGGAAGACCUUCAGAACAAUUCCAAGUUCCUCAUUUUAAGAUCAACAAGGCAUGUUUUAGGGCGUGUACGCUUGAGAGAGGAAGCUGCAGUGUGAAUGCCAAACCUGCCUCUAAAACAGCCUAAUGCAACUCUUGUCCAGAAGAAAUAAGGCAAGGAAAUCCCCUGGUUAAUGACUCAGCUCAGGAAGAGGCAGGGUCAGGAGAGUCUAUGGAGGAGAAGACCUAGAACAAGACCUGUCUCUUUCGCUCUUUCACACACACACACACACACACACACACACACCCCAUACCCUCACACCCCCAUGGGCCCAAAUUGUGAACUGAGAACCUCACCUCUCUGACCACACCUUCCAUCCCCCUCAAUCAGAGAUACCCACAAUCUGCAGAGCUGCGUCCCAACCUCACUUUUUGUUACUCCCUCCCCCACUGCUUUGACUUCCUGUCUGCCUGAGAACCUGUCUGUGUGGAUUUUUUCCUCUAUGUCCACCAGUGUCCCUGCCACCAAUAGCAUUUGUCACCUCUGCCUGGACAGCCCCUCAUGACUCUUUGCACCUCAUAGACUUCAGGUUAUUGAUGGCUGCACCUCAUCUCCCUGUGAACUGGAACUGUCUGAAGGAAAGAAUGGGUCAUGCUUGCCUCUGAUACUCCAGGAUUCCUUGCAGUGUGGUCACUAGGUGCUGGACAUGCCCUCCUUGGAUAAGUCAUACCUGGCUCAGCCACAACCAUCAGAGUUUAUCAUCAGUCACCUGCCUCAAAGCAAUGGAAACAUAGCGCUUUGGGAUAAUCGUGACCAGCAGGAUCUCAUCAAUCAGAACAUAUUGGAGAUUGUAACCAGUGCAUAGAGGGUGUGGAUUACACCAGUGCUCCCAACAAUUUCUCUUCUUGCUACCCAUGUGGAUUUUGUAAAUCAGUGCAUAUAAAUGUUAUCGGUACAAUGCUGGUCACAAUAGCUCAUGCCUGUAAUCCCAGCACUUUGGAAGUCCGAGGCAGGGGAAUCACUGGAGCUCAGGAGUUCCAGAUCAGCCUGGGCAACAUGUCAACACCCGUUUCUACAAAACACACAAAAAUUAGCAGGGCAUGGUGGCUUAUGGACCUGUGGUCCCAACUACUUAAAGAGCUGAGGCAGGAGGAUCGUUUGAGCCCUGGAGGCUGAGGUUGCAAUGAGCCCAGAUUGCACCAUUAUAAUCCAGCCUGAGCAACAGAACAAGCACCCAUCUCAGACUCAAAACAAAACGAAAAUAAAGUGUAAAACAAAAAGUUAUGGGUAUCCUAUACUGUAGUCUGUUAAUUUGCAAUAGUAUUGUGUCUUUUAAAAACAAUAUAUGGUGAUGGAUCACGCGCCUG
Molecule: long non-coding RNA, 2672 nt
Organism: Callithrix jacchus (white-tufted-ear marmoset)
Lineage: Eukaryota; Metazoa; Chordata; Mammalia; Primates; Cebidae
Source: RefSeq, a predicted model, not a curated record